This is a long non-coding RNA of Chelonoidis abingdonii (Abingdon island giant tortoise), 1005 nucleotides long. RefSeq lists it as uncharacterized. NCBI's taxonomy places the organism in Eukaryota, Metazoa, Chordata, Testudines, Testudinidae. The record is from RefSeq and is a predicted model, not a curated record.
UUUCUAAUACAGGCCUUUAACUUUUUAUUCCAAAGUACAAUGCACACACAUUGGAAAAAUAGUAUCAAAAUAUAUAUACAAAAAUAACAACUGUUUGCACUGGACUGAUUUCAUAAAAAUACAAAGAGUGGGCAGUUCAGAGAGAGUUUUGUUAUAGGUUACAACUGAAGAGCUGGGACACGUGAAAUAUCCAAGUGGAUAUUCAGUUACCAUGACGACUAAAGAACAGUGGAUAAAAUCCAUUGUUGCCCUGCAGAUGGGGCCCAAUUCCCUACUGCCCUAUGAUUUACACCUGGGGAAAAUGGGUGAGCCACUCUCUAUGGUGCAUAGUCUUAUACUUUAUCCCCUUUGAGGGCCAGGGUGUCUGGGGCUGGCCAGCCCUGUUCAGUUAUCAGACCCAGCUGGGAAGGGGGAAGGUGAUCCUUAUGAAAAGGCUGAGAAAACUGCUGAGGAGAGCUGUUGUGGGCCCUGAAGGGAAGGGUGAGUCCUUCUUUCCCCCUAGAGAGGGAAGGGGAAAGUCUAUGGGAGUUACAGCACAGGAUGGGCAGAGGAACUGCUUUUGGUUUUGAUAUUUUGCCUAUAUUUUACCUGCAGGGGAGAGACUUGAGUGUGGCAGUGGGUCCUUCCUGAGGAGGUCAGGAAAUCAAAACUAAGUGAAGGGAAACUGAGGCAGCAGAGAGCUUGAAGCCAGAGCAGAAUUUACCACUCCCCGUCAUUAAGGGAAGUUUGCUCCUUGACCUAAGAAUACAGCUCAGAAGCAAGUGUCUUCCCCUGAGGUCUCAUGGGUGGAUCUGCCUGAAGUACCUUCCUGUGAUACAGCGAUAAGACAUCUGUCUUAUUGAAUAACAUCAAUCAAACCUUAACCAUGCCAUGUCAGAAAGUGUGGAUUGUGACUGACUCAUCAACACAUCUUGCGCAGAGUUUGCUUCUCCAGUCCCAAGAAGUGCCUAGAUCUGGGAUCUACGUCAGGACCCUUUGGUGCAAGGUGCUGUACAUACAAACAGU